UUUUGGGCAAUGGGCGAAAGCCUGACCCAGCAACGCCGCGUGAAGGAUGAAGUAUUUCGGUAUGUAAACUUCGAAAGAAUGGGAAGAAUCAAUGACGGUACCAUUUAUAAGGUCCGGCUAACUACGUGCCAGCAGCCGCGGUAAUACGUAGGGACCAAGCGUUGUUCGGAUUUACUGGGCGUAAAGGGCGCGUAGGCGGCAAUUCAAGUCAGCUGUGAAAUCUCUGGGCUUAACCCAGAACGGCCAGCUGAUACUGCUUUGCUAGAGUGCAGAAGGGGCAAUCGGAAUUCUCGGUGUAGCGGUGAAAUGCGUAGAUAUCGAGAGGAACACCUGAGGUGAAGACGGGUUGCUGGGCUGACACUGACGCUGAGGCGCGAAAGCCAGGGGAGCAAACGG
This 396-nucleotide ribosomal RNA is filed under the name uncultured bacterium. RNAcentral describes it as "bacterial SSU rRNA". It matches the Rfam family "Bacterial small subunit ribosomal RNA", at positions 362 to 775 of the family's 1533-position model. The record is from RNAcentral.